Molecule: ribosomal RNA, 433 nt
Filed under: uncultured bacterium
Lineage: Bacteria
Description: partial 16S ribosomal RNA
Rfam family: Bacterial small subunit ribosomal RNA
Source: RNAcentral
AACGAACGCUGGCGGCAGGCCUAACACAUGCAAGUCGAGCGCGCCCUUCGGGGUGAGCGGCGGACGGGUGAGUAACGCGUGGGAACGUGCCCUUUUCUACGGAAUAGCCUCUGGAAACUGAGAGUAAUACCGUAUACGCCCUUUGGGGGAAAGAUUUAUCGGAAAAGGAUCGGCCCGCGUUGGAUUAGGUAGUUGGUGGGGUAAUGGCCUACCAAGCCGACGAUCCAUAGCUGGUUUGAGAGGAUGAUCAGCCACACUGGGACUGAGACACGGCCCAGACUCCUACGGGAGGCAGCAGUGGGGAAUCUUAGACAAUGGGGGCAACCCUGAUCUAGCCAUGCCGCGUGAGUGAUGAAGGCCUUAGGGUUGUAAAGCUCUUUAAGCUGGGAAGAUAAUGACGGUACCAGCAGAAGAAGCCCCGGCUAACUCCGUG